AAGCAGUAGCUUGAAUUCCCCUUUAUAAUGGGGUUACUUUCUUGCAGCAUCUGGAUCACUGAGACCCCUUAUGCAUGAGCCUGAGCUAGUUUGCAAGAGGAGUGGAAACAAGAAAAAGCACCCAGCCUCUCCAGCCAGGUGCCUCAUGAGUAAGUGAAGCCUUCCUGGAGGAUCCAGACAUGGGUCAGACCCAGGGGAGGUCUGCUGACCUGCCUAGAACAGAACCAUUUGACCAUAGGAUCACCAGAUAAAUAUAUGGUUGGGGUUUUUUUGUUUGCUUUUGGGAGUUUUGUUUUAUUUUGGUUUUAGUUUGGGUACCAGGGAUUGAACCCAGUGGCAUUUAACCACUGAGCCACAUCCCCAGCCCUUUUGUGUAUUUUAUUUAGAGACAGGGUCUUGCUGAGUAGCUAAGUGCCUUCCUAUCUGCUGAGGCUGGCUUUGAACUCACUAUCCUCCUGCUUCUGCCUCCUGAGUUGCUGGGAUUAUAGGCGUGGGUGGCCCAUGAGCCCAGCUAUGGUUGUUUUCAAAUAGCAAAUGUCAGGGAAGGGAAGUGGGGAUUGCUAUUAGGAAAAACUAACUGAUUAAAGUGAGAUGUAAUGGUAAACACGCUGGAAUCCUAGUGUCUCAGGAGGCCAAGGCAGGAAGAUGGCAAUUUUGAAGCUAACUUGGGCAACUUAACAAGACCCUGUCUCAAAACAAAAAAUUUAAAGGGACGAGGAUGUACUUCAGUGAUAGAGCACCCCUGGAUUUAAUCCCUAGUACUGCAAAAAAAAAAAGGAUAUAAUUUUUA
This 790-nucleotide long non-coding RNA is filed under the name Marmota monax (woodchuck). The record is from RNAcentral. Lineage: Eukaryota; Metazoa; Chordata; Mammalia; Rodentia; Sciuridae.